UCCGUAGGGUGCAAGCGUUGUCCGGAAUUAUUGGGCGUAAAGAGCUCGUAGGCGGCUUGUCGCGUCGGCUGUGAAAACCUGGGGCUCAACCCCGGGCCUGCAGCCGAUACGGGCAAGCUAGAAUUCGGUAGGGGAGACUGGAAUUCCUGGUGUAGCGGUGAAAUGCGCAGAUAUCAGGAAGAACACCCGUGGCUAAGGCGGCUCUCUAGUACGUGACUGACGCUGAGACGCGAAAGCGUGGGGAGCGAACAGG
RNAcentral lists this ribosomal RNA (253 nucleotides) under uncultured bacterium. Its description in RNAcentral is "partial 16S ribosomal RNA". It matches the Rfam family "Bacterial small subunit ribosomal RNA", at positions 524 to 776 of the family's 1533-position model. The record is from RNAcentral.